This 339-nucleotide ribosomal RNA is filed under the name uncultured Streptococcus sp. RNAcentral describes it as "bacterial SSU rRNA". It matches the Rfam family "Bacterial small subunit ribosomal RNA", at positions 8 to 339 of the family's 1533-position model. The record is from RNAcentral. Lineage: Bacteria; Bacillati; Bacillota; Bacilli; Lactobacillales; Streptococcaceae.
AGAGUUCGAUCCUGGCUCAGGACGAACGCUGGCGGCGUGCCUAAUACAUGCAAGUAGAACGCUGAAGGAGGAGCUUGCUCUUCUGGAUGAGUUGCGAACGGGUGAGUAACGCGUAGGUAACCUGCCUGGUAGCGGGGGAUAACUAUUGGAAACGAUAGCUAAUACCGCAUAAGAGUAGAUGUUGCAUGACAUUUGCUUAAAAGGUGCAAUUGCAUCACUACCAGAUGGACCUGCGUUGUAUUAGCUAGUUGGUGAGGUAACGGCUCACCAAGGCGACGAUACAUAGCCGACCUGAGAGGGUGAUCGGCCACACUGGGACUGAGACACGGCCCAGACUCC